This 1132-nucleotide ribosomal RNA is filed under the name uncultured bacterium. RNAcentral's name for it is "bacterial SSU rRNA". The stretch from base 125 to 1132 matches the Rfam family "Bacterial small subunit ribosomal RNA". The record is from RNAcentral.
UCUCUUUUUCCAGAGAAGAAAACAUGAGAUAUAUUUCUCUUCUAUAAACCGCACUUCUUGAUAGUAGCCUCUCGGGUUUAUAACGUCCAGUGCGCGGGUUUAAUCUGUGGGGGCAAAAUCUUUUGUAAUACCGUGGUUGAAGAAUCCGCCGCGGCUAUUUAAAUUUUAUCAGCAGAGCCACGCGUCCGCCUCGAGAAUAGUCGGAGUAGCGACGUAAGAUUUUGCAGAAGGGGGUGUAAGUCCUCGUGUACACUCAGACUCAACAUAGGAGUGGGACGACGACUGCAAGGCUAGACUCCUGGCAGACGAGAGUAGAGUUCUUGGCGUAGCAGUGAGGUGCGUAGCGAUGGUGAGGUACCCUGAUGUUGCACGCCGCCAACCUAGGUCAAGAUUGACGCUCAUGCUCGAAAGCGUGGGGAGCAACCAGGAUUAGAUAACAUGGUAGUCUGCGCGCUAAGCGAUGUCUACUAGUUGUCAAAGUAUUAAUUAACUUGGUAACGCAGCUAACGCGUGAAGUAGACCGCUUGGGGAGUACGGUCGCAAGAUUAAAACUCAAAGGAAUUGACGGGGACCCGCACAAGCGGUGGAUGAUGUGGAUUAAUUCGAUGCAACGCGAAAAACCUUACCUACCCUUGACAUGUACGGAAGGCCGAAGAGAUUUGGCUGUGCUCGAAAGAGAACCGUAACACAGGUGCUGCAUGGCUGUCGUCAGCUCGUGUCGUGAGAUGUUGGGUUAAGUCCCGCAACGAGCGCAACCCUUGUCAUUAGUUGCUACAUUUAGUUGAGCACUCUAAUGAGACUGCCGGUGACAAACCGGAGGAAGGUGGGGAUGACGUCAAGUCCUCAUGGCCCUUAUGGGUAGGGCUUCACACGUCAUACAAUGGUACAUACAGAGGGCCGCCAACCCGCGAGGGGGAGCUAAUCCCAGAAAGUGUAUCGUAGUCCGGAUCGUAGUCUGCAACUCGACUACGUGAAGUUGGAAUCGCUAGUAAUCGCGGAUCAGCAUGUCGCGGUGAAUACGUUCCCGGGUCUUGUACACACCGCCCGUCACACCAUGGGAGCGGGUUUUACCAGAAGUAGGUAGCUUAACCGCAAGGAGGGCGCUUACCACGGUACGACUACGGGAUGCCCC